Molecule: unclassified non-coding RNA, 520 nt
Filed under: uncultured Glomus
Lineage: Eukaryota; Fungi; Glomeromycota; Glomeromycetes; Glomerales; Glomeraceae
Description: SSU rRNA
Rfam family: Eukaryotic small subunit ribosomal RNA
Source: RNAcentral
AGCAGCCGCGGUAAUUCCAGCUCCAAUAGCGUAUAUUAAAGUUGUUGCAGUUAAAAAGCUCGUAGUUGAAUUUCGGGAUCAGUAUGUUGGUCGUGCUUCGGUACGUACUGUCAUUACUGGUUUCUACCUUCUGAAGAACCUUGAUGUCAUUAAUUUGGUGUCUUGGGGAAUCAGGACUGUUACUUUGAAAAAAUUAGAGUGUUUAAAGCAAGCAUACGCUUGAAUACAUUAGCAUGGAAUAAUGAAAUAGGACGUUUGAUUCUAUUUUGUUGGUUUCUAGGAUCGACGUAAUGAUUAAUAGGGAUAGUUGGGGGGCAUUAGUAUUCAAUUGUCAGAGGUGAAAUUCUUGGAUUUAUUGAAGACUAACUACUGCGAAAGCAUUUGCCAAGGAUGUUUUCAUUAAUCAAGAACGAAAGUUAGGGGAUCGAAGACGAUCAGAUACCGUCGUAGUCUUAACCAUAAACUAUGCCGACUAGGGAUCGGAUGAUGUUAUUUUUUAAUGACUCAUUCGGCGCCUUAC